This 497-nucleotide ribosomal RNA is filed under the name uncultured bacterium. RNAcentral's name for it is "partial 16S ribosomal RNA". It matches the Rfam family "Bacterial small subunit ribosomal RNA", at positions 28 to 507 of the family's 1533-position model. The record is from RNAcentral.
GAUGAACGCUGGCGGCGUGCCUAAUACAUGCAAGUCGAGCGAACGGACGAGAAGCUUGCUUUUCUGAUGUUAGCGGCGGACGGGUGAGUAACACGUGGAUAACCUACCUAUAAGACUGGGAUAACUUCGGGAAACCGGAGCUAAUACCGGAUAAUAUUUUGAACCGCAUGGUUCAAAAGUGAAAGACGGUCUUGCUGUCACUUAUAGAUGGAUCCGCGCUGCAUUAGCUAGUUGGUAAGGUAACGGCUUACCAAGGCAACGAUGCAUAGCCGACCUCAGAGGGAGAUCGGCCACACUGGAACUGAGACACGUUCCAGACUCCUACGGGAGGCAGCAGUAGGGAAUCUUCCGCAAUGGGCGAAAGCCUGACGGAGCAACGCGGCGUGAGUGAUGAUGGUCUUCGGAUCGUAAAACGCUGUUAUUAGGGAAGAACAUAUGUGUAAGUAACUGUGCACAUCAUGACGGUACCUAAUCAGAAAGCCACGGCUAACUACGUG